RNAcentral lists this ribosomal RNA (402 nucleotides) under Verrucomicrobiota bacterium. RNAcentral describes it as "Verrucomicrobia bacterium partial 16S ribosomal RNA". It matches the Rfam family "Bacterial small subunit ribosomal RNA", at positions 355 to 776 of the family's 1533-position model. Lineage: Bacteria; Pseudomonadati; Verrucomicrobiota. The record is from RNAcentral.
UGGGGAAUUUUGCACAAUGGGGGAAACCCUGAUGCAGCGACGCCGCGUGAUUUAGAAGGCCUUCGGGUUGUAAAAAUCUUUUGUAUGGGAAGAAAAUGACAGUACCAUACGAAUAAGGACCGGCUAAUUACGUGCCAGCAGCCGCGGUAAUACGUAAGGUCCGAGCGUUAUCCGGAUUUACUGGGCGUAAAGGGCGUGUAGGCGGCUAGAUAAGUGUGAUGUUUAAAUCCAAGGCUUAACCUUGGGGUUCAUUACAAACUGUUUAGCUUGAGUGCUGGAGAGGAUAGUGGAAUUCCUAGUGUAGCGGUAAAAUGCGUAGAUAUUAGGAGGAACACCGGUGGCGAAGGCGGCUAUCUGGACAGUAACUGACGCUGAGGCGCGAAAGCGUGGGGAGCAAACAGG